CUCCUACGGGAGGCAGCAGUGGGGAAUAUUGCACAAUGGGCGAAAGCCUGAUGCAGCGACGCCGCGUGAGUGAAGAAGUAUUUCGGUAUGUAAAGCUCUAUCAGCAGGGAAGAUAAUGACGGUACCUGACUAAGAAGCCCCGGCUAACUACGUGCCAGCAGCCGCGGUAAUACGUAGGGGG
Molecule: ribosomal RNA, 181 nt
Filed under: uncultured bacterium
Lineage: Bacteria
Description: partial 16S ribosomal RNA
Rfam family: Bacterial small subunit ribosomal RNA
Source: RNAcentral